RNAcentral lists this long non-coding RNA (767 nucleotides) under Homo sapiens (human). Its description in RNAcentral is "long intergenic non-protein coding RNA 698". The record is from RNAcentral. Lineage: Eukaryota; Metazoa; Chordata; Mammalia; Primates; Hominidae.
ACCAGCUUCUGCAAAGCCCAGCCAGGAGCUCAAGUGUUCUGUUCCCCCAGCUGUCAAUCAGAGUAGGGAGGGCAUGAAGGAGACAUAGGAGAUAGAUUCAUGAAGAAUACUUGUUACUUUUAUAUGUGAUCUGCAACUUUAAGAAUUUUUUUUCCUGAUACUACCAAAAUGAAUUCAUCAAAAGAUAGCCUAAUGAUGAGGCUUUUCUGCCACUUUGCUGUUAUUAGACUCCAGGGAGUAAAUGUCUCUUAUUAUCAUAAAAAGGGAAAUUAUGAGCUUUUUCUCCAAGAGCUAUAAGACAAUCUUAUCUUCAUUUUCAUUCUUCCAGGUGGUUAUGUUGAAGAUGUAAAUAUUCUCCCUGCUGUGAGUAUUACUGCAGCUGCCCAAAGAUGCUUUAUUUUAAAGAUGUGGAUACAGGAAGAUAAAAGCAUCAGAAACACUGCAUGGGAAAAUCAUUCAGACUGCAGCUUCCUGGUUUUAGACAUCCCCACUGGCAAUUGGGACAUCUAUUUUGGAGAUGUAAUUGAAAAGACUGAAGAAUGUACUGAGGACCUUCUGGCUGAUAGAAGCUGACAAAGAAGCCAAGAUUGGUGAAGAUUUCUGCAAUACCUGAGUUUCUAAUCACAACAACAAAAAUGGUAUUUAUUUCCUAUUGACCCAAACAGUGGCAACGUUUUAGUCAAGGUGAUUUAGAGGAGGUUAGAAAGAGAGGUGGAUGCUUGGGCCAUAUUAAAGGCAGAAAAUGGGUUAUUCUCCCAUUAUCUUUU